AGCUCAGUUGGUAGAGCAGUUGACUUUUAAUCAAUUGGUCGCUGGUUCGAAUCCAGCACGACCCACCA
Molecule: transfer RNA, 68 nt
Filed under: Alteromonas sp.
Lineage: Bacteria; Pseudomonadati; Pseudomonadota; Gammaproteobacteria; Alteromonadales; Alteromonadaceae
Description: tRNA-Lys
Rfam family: tRNA
About the family: Transfer RNA (tRNA) molecules are approximately 80 nucleotides in length. Their secondary structure includes four short double-helical elements and three loops (D, anti-codon, and T loops).
Source: RNAcentral